Molecule: non-coding RNA, 3185 nt
Organism: Rattus norvegicus (Norway rat)
Lineage: Eukaryota; Metazoa; Chordata; Mammalia; Rodentia; Muridae
Source: RefSeq, a predicted model, not a curated record
AGUGUUGCAGCGUUAGGAAGGUUGAGAACCACUGGUCUGCACGUCUCUGCCUGAAUUACUUAACGUUCUUGUGCUGUAGUGACUUUGUUGGUGAAAUGACACUAAGGACAAUAGCAAAGCAGUACUUCCUGUCUGGGCUGCUGAGAAGAUUGACUGACUUAAGAGCUGGGAGCCACUGAGAACAAGUUGGGCCUUAGCAAGGCCUCCCUGCCUACUGUUGCUGUUCUUUGGGGUUUUAGAGAAUUUUCUGGAGAACAUCUGAGACCCCAUGAACUAGGCAGAUGCCCAAUAGGACACUGUAUGAAACCGGAGUUUUCAGGUGCUGGCUUUCAGGAAGUGAACAUAAAAGCCGCUGAAUAAACAAGGCCUUUUAAACAACUCCAAUGCCCUCUCCUGAUACAGUCUGCAGUGUUGACAUAACUAAACAAACACAGCUCCCGUCAGACGAUGGAGGAGAGAACCUUCGAACAUUUGAGAACUUCCUAAGGUGGCCAAACCUGCAGGGUGGCUGAGGGAGCGGGAACCCACGCUGCCUGAUACGAUCAAAUGCCUUGGUAAAGUCAACAAAUUACAUUUUCAGGUGCUCCCAGAUUUGUUCUGUGCCUGAUCUCUGGCAGAAAUCAAAUUCAGCAAUGUCUUCUGGGCCCUGUGGCUUAACAUCACGUAUUCAUUUCUGCUUUCUGGUUCCGGACACACAGGCUAUACCAGGCAGGGAUAGGCAGAGAGAAAUGAGAGAUGCUAUCUACUUGGUAAGUCCCACUUUGGAGGUGUGUCCCUCCUGACACAAUGCUGGCUGUAGUAAGCUAAGUUCAGGGAAAGUAAGAGCAACUAGCUGGCCCAGAUCAGAUUUCUUUGUAUUUUUUUCUCUUUCCUGAGAUGGGAUCUCAUGUAGCUUGGUCUAGCCUUGAACUUGCUAUAGCAGAGGCUGCUGUGAACUUCUGAUCCUCCUAUGUGAUAUAAUUAUAGGCAUGUAUCACCACACAGUGGGUUUGUCUGGUGCAUGCAUAUACAAGUGUGUGUGUGAGUGUGUGUGUGUGUGUGAGAGAGAGAGAGAAAGAGAGAGAGAGAGGGUGUGUGUGUGUGUGUGUGUGUGAGAGAGAGAGAGCGUGUGUGUGUGUGAGAGAGAGAGAGAGAAAGAGAGAGAGGGUGUGUGUGUGUGAGAGAGAGAGAGAGAGCGUGUGUGUGUGUGUGUGAGUGUGUGUGUGUGUGUGAGAGAGAGUGUGUGUGAGUGUGAAUGUGUGUGUGUGAGAGUGUGUGUGUGUGAGAGAGUGUGUGUGUGAGUGUGUGUGUGUGAGAGAGUGUGUGUGUGUGAGAGAGAGUGUGUGUGUGAGUGUGUGUGAGUGUGUGUGUGUGUGUGAGAGAGUGUGUGUGAGUGUGUGUGUGUGUGUGUGUGUGUGUGUGUGUGUGUGUGUGUGUGUGUUGAGAUAUGGUCUCAUACAGUCCAGGCCUGCCUUGUUGAACUCAGGCAAGCACUCUAGCAACUGAGGGACAUCUCUGUCCGUGAAGGGGGACUUUAACUUUAGAUUCUUCUCUUGUCAGUGAACUGUUCUCAACUGGCGGCUCCAUGUUCCACCAGGAACAUCUGGCAAUCUCUAUCACAAAUGAAUGGAGGAGAGAUCCUGGCAUCCUUUAGGCAGAGACAGGGUUUCUCUGUGUAACUUCCCACCGUGGAACUUGCUCUGUAGACUCGCAGAUCUUCUCGUCUCUUCCUCCACUGUACCACCUCCAGGAGUACGCCACCGCUGCUGGUAGGAGUACCAAGGGAAAAUAUCUGCUGGUCCUCAGACUGGAGCACCAAACCCAAGAAUGCCGUGUUACCCCCGCCACUUCAUAAUACAGGCGCCUGCAUUGCUUUUUCUAUGACGUUUGUGACUCCUUCACAUCCCUAGACUCAUAAGCAAUGGAGACUGCUCGAACGCUACUCCAGGAAAAUCAGGAGCACAGAGGCGUCUUGAACCCUGGCCUUGUCUUCUUAGGAAAUGGAAACUGAGGCAGAGCGUGCACCACUUCAGUCAUGGCUGAGGUGGAGUCACUCACUGCCCAUAGCAGCGCACUGGGGUCUGUCACCAGGGUUGGCCAGUGGGGGAACUGACUUUGAGCUGUGGCGUUUCAGACAUUUCAAUCGUGGCUUUUCUACUUUGACCCUGGGAUUCCCCAGUAUGACGAUGAGCAUGCUUUUGAAAUUCUCUGAACCUUACUUUUCUCCUCUUUAAAGUGGAGACAGUGAUAGUAUCUUAGUCCUUAGAUGUUUUUAAAUCUGGGUUAUGAGAUGAAAUAUGAGUGACACAUAUGGUGAUUUAUUGUUGGAGGACGGAAGUUAUCGGUGCUGUGCCAAGCUGGGACUGAAGCAUUUCGCGGUGAGAAAGAGAUUCAGUGUUGUUAUCUGUGUGUGUGUAUUCAAGUAUGUGCAGGUGUCUGUGUGUACAUGGAUACGGAGGACAUUAUGCCUUAGUCGCUGUCCACUUUUAAAUUUUUUAGAUAGAUUCCGCCACCCUCUUAAGCUUGGUUCUCUUCCUGCUCUGGAACUUGUCAAGUAGACAAGGCUGGCUGGCCAGCGUGCCCCAGGGAUCCACUCAGCUCUACCUCCAUAGCCGUGGGAUGACCAGUGCACACACCACAUCUGGUUCUGAGUGAGCAUGGGAGAACAAAUGCUACAGUGACAACCCUGAGUGUCCCCAGCUGCUAUCUGUUUGGGACAGGGUCUCUCUUGUUCACUCCCUUGUUGUUUCAGACUAGCUGACCCAGGAGUUUCUGAGUGAGCGGUUGAUAAUUGUCUUAUCUUUGCCUCCUAUCUCCCAGGAAGGGGUGUGCUGGGAUCACAGCCAUUCGUGGUUUUUGUGUUACACUGUCUGGCGUUUACCUGGGUUCUGGGGAAUCCAAAUUUAGGUUAUCAGGCUUGAAUGGCAAGUGCUUCAUGCUUCACCUGUUAAGCCAACUCCCUGGCACCCAGGGUUUUUUUUUUUUUUUUUUUUUUUUUGUGAGUUCUGCAGAUAACACUCAUGUUCUUAGGCUUGGAAGACAAAAGCUGUAUUGACAGAGCUCUCUCCGUAGCCCCAAAUAUUCAGUAUAUUUAUCCAGAAAAAAUAUCAUUACCUGGGAGAUGAGUCCACUUUUUUACGCAGAGGACCUCUGCUGGGGUACAUUCCUCACAACUCAAUCCACACUUUUGGUAGGGAGUGGGCAAG